Molecule: ribosomal RNA, 494 nt
Filed under: uncultured bacterium
Lineage: Bacteria
Description: partial 16S ribosomal RNA
Rfam family: Bacterial small subunit ribosomal RNA
Source: RNAcentral
GACGAACGCUGGCGGCGUGCUUAACACAUGCAAGUCGAACGGUGAAGCGCCUUCCUUUUUGGUGGGUGUGGAUGAGUGGCGAACGGGUGAGUAACACGUGAGUAACCUGCCCCCUUCUUCUGGAUAACCGCAUGAAAGUGUGGCUAAUACGGGAUAUUCUGGGUCUGUCGCAUGAUGGGUCUGGGAAAGAUAUUGUUUCGGUGGGGGAUGGGCUCGCGGCCUAUCAGCUUGUUGGUGGGGUGAUAGCCUACCAAGGCGGUGACGGGUAGCCGGCCUGAGAGGGUGGACGGUCACGCUGGGACUGAGACACGGCCCAGACUCCUACGGGAGGCAGCAGUGGGGAAUAUUGCACAAUGGGCGCAAGCCUGAUGCAGCGACGCCGCGGGAGGGAUGGAGGCCUUCGGGUUGUGAACCUCUUUCGCCAGUGAAGCAGGCCUGCCUCGUUUGUGGGUGGGUUGACGGUAGCUGGAUAAGAAGCGCCGGCUAACUACGUG